AGAGUUUGAUCCUGGCUCAGGAUGAACGCUGGCGGCGUGCCUAACACAUGCAAGUCGAGCGAUUCUCUUCGGAGAAGAGCGGCGGACGGGUGAGUAACGCGUGGGUAACCUGCCCUGUACACACGGAUAACAUACCGAAAGGUAUGCUAAUACGAGAUAAUAUACUUUUAUCGCAUGGUAGAAGUAUCAAAGCUUUUGCGGUACAGGAUGGACCCGCGUCUGAUUAGCUAGUUGGUAAGGUAACGGCUUACCAAGGCGACGAUCAGUAGCCGACCUGAGAGGGUGAUCGGCCACAUUGGAACUGAGACACGGUCCAAACUCCUACGGGAGGCAGCAGUGGGGAAUAUUGCACAAUGGGCGAAAGCCUGAUGCAGCAACGCCGCGUGAGCGAUGAAGGCCUUCGGGUCGUAAAGCUCUGUCCUCAAGGAAGAUAAUGACGGUACUUGAGGAGGAAGCCCCGGCUAACUACGUG
This 472-nucleotide ribosomal RNA is filed under the name uncultured bacterium. RNAcentral's name for it is "bacterial SSU rRNA". It matches the Rfam family "Bacterial small subunit ribosomal RNA", at positions 8 to 507 of the family's 1533-position model. The record is from RNAcentral.